RNAcentral lists this ribosomal RNA (411 nucleotides) under Triticum aestivum (bread wheat). Its description in RNAcentral is "partial small subunit ribosomal RNA". The record is from RNAcentral. Lineage: Eukaryota; Viridiplantae; Streptophyta; Magnoliopsida; Poales; Poaceae.
AUGGCGCGUACGAAGCAGACCGCCCGGAAGUCUACCGGCGGCAAGGCGCCUCGCAAGCAGCUGGCCACCAAGGCGGCGAGGAAGUCGGCGCCGACCACCGGCGGCGUGAAGAAGCCCCACCGCUACAGGCCCGGCACGGUGGCGCUGCGUGAGAUCCGCAAGUACCAGAAGAGCACGGAGCUGCUCAUCCGCAAGCUGCCGUUCCAGCGCCUGGUGCGGGAGAUCGCGCAGGACUUCAAGACGGACCUCCGGUUCCAGAGCCACGCCGUGCUGGCGCUCCAGGAGGCUGCCGAGGCGUACCUCGUCGGGCUCUUCGAGGACACCAACCUCUGCGCCAUCCACGCCAAGCGCGUCACCAUCAUGCCCAAGGACAUCCAGCUCGCCCGCCGCAUCCGCGGGGAGCGCGCCUAG